GAUGAACGCUGGCGGCGUGCUUAACACAUGCAAGUCGAACGGUGAAGCAGGAGCUUGCUCUUGUGGAUCAGUGGCGAACGGGUGAGUAACACGUGAGCAACCUGCCCCUGACUCUGGGAUAAGCGCUGGAAACGGCGUCUAAUACUGGAUAUGUGAUGUGACCGCAUGGUCUGCAUCUGGAAAGUAUUUCGGUUGGGGAUGGGCGCGCGGCCUAUCAGCUUGUUGGUAAGGUAAUGGCUCACCAAGGCGUCGACGGGUAGCCGGCCUGAGAGGGUGACCGGCCACACUGGGACUGAGACACGGCCCAGACUCCUACGGGAGGCAGCAGUGGGGAAUAUUGCACAAUGGGCGGAAGCCUGGUGCAGCAACGCCGCGUGAGGGAUGACGGCCUUCGGGUUGUAAACCUCUUUUAGCAGGGAAGAAGCGAAAGUGACGGUACCUGCAGAAAAAGCACCGGCUAACUACGUGCCAGCCGCCGCAGUAA
RNAcentral lists this ribosomal RNA (484 nucleotides) under uncultured bacterium. Its description in RNAcentral is "partial 16S ribosomal RNA". It matches the Rfam family "Bacterial small subunit ribosomal RNA", at positions 28 to 523 of the family's 1533-position model. The record is from RNAcentral.